RNAcentral lists this ribosomal RNA (465 nucleotides) under uncultured bacterium. Its description in RNAcentral is "partial 16S ribosomal RNA". It matches the Rfam family "Bacterial small subunit ribosomal RNA", at positions 28 to 507 of the family's 1533-position model. The record is from RNAcentral.
GACGAACGCUGGCAGCGUGCUUAACACAUGCAAGUCGAACGGAAAGGCCCCAGCUUGCUGGGGUACUCGAGUGGCGAACGGGUGAGUAACACGUGGGUGAUCUGCCCUGCACUCUGGGAUAAGCCUGGGAAACUGGGUCUAAUACCGGAUAGGACCGUGCUUUAGUGUGUGCGGUGGAAAGUUUUUCGGUGCAGGAUGAGCCCGCGGCCUAUCAGCUUGUUGGUGGGGUAAUGGCCUACCAAGGCGGCGACGGGUAGCCGGCCUGAGAGGGUGUACGGCCACAUUGGGACUGAGACACGGCCCAGACUCCUACGGGAGGCAGCAGUGGGGAAUAUUGCACAAUGGGCGCAAGCCUGAUGCAGCGACGCCGCGUGGGGGAUGACGGCCUUCGGGUUGUAAACCCCUUUCGGCAGGGACGAAGCUUUUGUGACGGUACCUGCAUAAGAAGCACCGGCUAACUACGUG